RNAcentral lists this ribosomal RNA (429 nucleotides) under uncultured archaeon. RNAcentral's name for it is "bacterial SSU rRNA". It matches the Rfam family "Archaeal small subunit ribosomal RNA", at positions 474 to 903 of the family's 1478-position model. The record is from RNAcentral.
UACCAGCUCUCCGAGUGGUGUGGAUGUUUAUUGGGCCUAAAGCAUCCGUAGCUGGCCGGACAAGUCCCCUGUUAAAUCCACCGAUUUAAUCGUUGGUGUGCGGGGGAUACUGUUCGGCUAGGGGACGGGAGAGGCCGACGGUAUUUCCGGGGUAGGGGUGAAAUCCUAUAAUCCCGGGAAGACCACCAGUGGCGAAGGCUGUCGGCUAGAACGCGCCCGACGGUGAGGGAUGAAAGCUGGGGGAGCGAACCGGAUUAGAUACCCGGGUAGUCCCAGCUGUAAACGAUGCGGGCUAGGUGUUUGGGCGGCUACGUGCCGCUCUAGUGCCGCAAGGAAGCUGUUAAGCCUGCCGCCUGGGGAGUACAGCCGCAAGGCUGAAACUUAAAGGAAUUGGCGGGGGAGCACCACAAGGGGUGAAGCUUGCGGUUU